RNAcentral lists this ribosomal RNA (492 nucleotides) under uncultured bacterium. Its description in RNAcentral is "partial 16S ribosomal RNA". It matches the Rfam family "Bacterial small subunit ribosomal RNA", at positions 29 to 507 of the family's 1533-position model. The record is from RNAcentral.
AGUGAACGCUGGCGGUAGGCCUAACACAUGCAAGUCGAACGGCAGCACAGUAAGAGCUUGCUCUUACGGGUGGCGAGUGGCGGACGGGUGAGGAAUACAUCGUAAUCUACUUUUUCGUGGGGGAUAACGUAGGGAAACUUACGCUAAUACCGCAUACGACCUACGGGUGAAAGCAGGGGAUCUUCGGACCUUGCGCGAUUGAAUGAGCCGAUGUCGGAUUAGCUAGUUGGCGGGGUAAAGGCCCACCAAGGCGACGAUCCGUAGCUGGACUGAGAGGAUGAUCAGCCACACUGGAACGGAGACACGGUCCAGACUCCUACGGGAGGCAGCAGUGGGGAAUAUUGGACAAUGGGCGCAAGCCUGAUCCAGCCAUACCGCGUGGGUGAAGAAGGCCUUCGGGUUGUAAAGCCCUUUUGUUGGGAAAGAAAAGCAGCAGGUUAAUACCCCGCUGUUCUGACGGUACCCAAAGAAUAAGCACCGGCUAACUUCGUG